RNAcentral lists this ribosomal RNA (252 nucleotides) under uncultured bacterium. RNAcentral describes it as "partial 16S ribosomal RNA". It matches the Rfam family "Bacterial small subunit ribosomal RNA", at positions 524 to 776 of the family's 1533-position model. The record is from RNAcentral.
UACAGAGGUCUCAAGCGUUGUUCGGAUUCAUUGGGCGUAAAGGGUGCGUAGGCGGCGCGGUAAGUCGGGUGUGAAAUCUCGGGGCUUAACUCCGAAACUGCAUUCGAUACUGCCGUGCUUGAGGACUGGAGAGGAGACUGGAAUUACGGUGUAGCGGUGAAAUGCGUAGAUAUCGUAAGGAAGACCAGUGGCGAAGGCGGGUCUCUGGACAGUUCCUGACGCUGAGGCACGAAGGCCAGGGGAGCAAACGGG